This is a non-coding RNA of Equus caballus (horse), 45 nucleotides long. The record is from Rfam. NCBI's taxonomy places the organism in Eukaryota, Metazoa, Chordata, Mammalia, Perissodactyla, Equidae.
CUUAAGGCCCUUUUCAGGGCCACCUAUUUACUCACUUAAAAGAGC